CACGGAGUGUAUUCUGCUUGUAAGCUUGAUGCUGAUGGUUCCCUAGGCUUUAAUAACACAGAGAGAUAAACACACACACAUAUUCCCCUAGUGCACUUUGUCCUCGGAAAGUCUUCAUCAGGGACGCUAUAUUUAUGGCCUCUGAAUGGACGGCAUGUAGAGAAGUAAUCAGACUCAAUCAGAUGACCAGCCCCCAAGCUGAGGCACAGAUAGAAAGAAAGAGAAAAAGAGAGAGAACGAGAGGAGGGAUGGGAAGGCAGGGAGAGUGAAAGAAGAGUGGGGAGGCAAAUCUAAGAGGUCCAUUUUGUUCUUUUUCAAACAGAAUAUUGCCGCACGACUGUGUGUCUGACCUCAAUGAGUAUACACUGAAAUAUCAACAGGUUUUGCAAGAUAACCAAAAGCAUCGACUACAUUACCUAGAGACAGCUGAUUUCCUCAAGCCAAAAAACAUGGAAAGGACAGAGAAUAAAGUGUCCACCAUCUCCCCACAAAAACAGACAGUGAAAAAUAGAUCCAAGUCAACAGAAGAGGUACAGCAAGCCAAAAAGGCCUUUCAUACGCCACAAAAAUCUCUUCCGGCUAAACCAGAAACUGAGCAACUAGAGGAGACCUCAGAAUUGAGUGCCUCAUCGGAGGAAUUCAAAUGAUUGCCGGAUUCAAACUUCGGGGCUUUGAGAUUUAGACAGAUCAGCUGGAAUUAUGGGUAAUAACAAGAGGAUUAUUCAGUGUCUCUGUUUAUGGAAUUGUGAUUUUACUUAGAUUAGUUAGCAUAGAAGAAGACCAACAAUAGUCGUGUAGCUUCUUGAGUUUGUAUGAGUCUGAUGCUGUUUGUGAAAUAAAUGCAGACCUGGAUAUCACAGUGCAUUGUGUGUAAUUCAUAUUAGUAGGUUAAUGCAUGUAGUGGCUUGUAAAAUAUCAAUAAAACCUUUCACAAACACUGUA
Molecule: long non-coding RNA, 942 nt
Organism: Megalobrama amblycephala (Wuchang bream)
Lineage: Eukaryota; Metazoa; Chordata; Actinopteri; Cypriniformes; Xenocyprididae
Exons: 6
Source: RefSeq, a predicted model, not a curated record